CAUGCAAGUCGAACGGAAAGGCCCUUCGGGGUGCUCGAGUGGCGAACGGGUGAGUAACACGUGGGUGAUCUGCCCUGCACUUUGGGAUAAGCCUGGGAAACUGGGUCUAAUACCGAAUAGGACUCCGGACUGCAUGGUCUGGGGUGGAAAGCUUUUGCGGUGUGGGAUGGGCCCGCGGCCUAUCAGCUUGUUGGUGGGGUGAUGGCCUACCAAGGCGACGACGGGUAGCCGGCCUGAGAGGGUGACCGGCCACACUGGGACUGAGAUACGGCCCAGACCCCUACGGGAGGCAGCAGUGGGGAAUAUUGCACAAUGGGCGCAAGCCUGAUGCAGCGACGCCGCGUGGGGGAUGACGGCCUUCGGGUUGUAAACCUCUUUCAGCACAGACGAAGCGUAAGUGACGGUAUGUGCAGAAGAAGCACCGGCCAACUACGUGCCAGCAGCCGCGGUAAUACGUAGGGUGCGAGCGUUGUCCGGAAUUACUGGGCGUAAAGAGCUCGUAGGUGGUUUGUCGCGUUGUUCGUGAAAACUCACA
Molecule: ribosomal RNA, 535 nt
Filed under: uncultured Mycobacterium sp.
Lineage: Bacteria; Bacillati; Actinomycetota; Actinomycetes; Mycobacteriales; Mycobacteriaceae
Description: bacterial SSU rRNA
Rfam family: Bacterial small subunit ribosomal RNA
Source: RNAcentral